CACGUAGGGCGCAAGCGUUGUCCGGAAUUAUUGGGCGUAAAGAGCUCGUAGGCGGUUUGUCGCGUCUGCUGUGAAAACUGGAGGCUCAACCUCCAGCCUGCAGUGGGUACGGGCAGACUAGAGUGCGGUAGGGGAGAUUGGAAUUCCUGGUGUAGCGGUGGAAUGCGUAGAUAUCUGGAGGAACACCGGUGGCGAAGGCGACUUACUGGACGAUUGUUGACGCUGAGGUGCGAAAGCGUGGGGAGCAAACAGG
This 253-nucleotide ribosomal RNA is filed under the name uncultured bacterium. RNAcentral describes it as "partial 16S ribosomal RNA". It matches the Rfam family "Bacterial small subunit ribosomal RNA", at positions 524 to 776 of the family's 1533-position model. The record is from RNAcentral.